Molecule: transfer RNA, 98 nt
Filed under: Actinoplanes digitatis
Lineage: Bacteria; Bacillati; Actinomycetota; Actinomycetes; Micromonosporales; Micromonosporaceae
Description: tRNA-Ala
Source: RNAcentral
GGCACGGGUCGGCGGGCGGCCCGGGGUGGUGCGGCGCGGCGCGUCGUCCGCGGUGACGUCCUCGGCGUCGAGGCCGGGGUCGUUCCCGGCCCGGGCCA